GAAAAAAAAACACUCCCCGUCCACCACCUCCCUCGAUCCCCAACCUUUCCCCGAUCUCUCUACUGUGAGGCGCCAGCGCCGUGCAUCUCUCCCCACUCCUCGAUCUCCUAGCACCGCCGCUCCCCACUUCCCUACCUCCCGGCGCCGCCGUGCCCACUUCCCCUGCCUCCUGGUGCCGCCGCUCCCCUCCACCCCGCUUCCCCUACCUCCAAGCGCCACUGCCCCAACCUCCGGCGUGCAACCAGGCUGCCUUCCGCUGCCGCCCCUUGCUCCGGCGUGCCUCCCAUCGCCCUGGCUCCGGCACGCCUCCCACCGCCGCACCCCCGGCCCUGGUGCGCCUCCAGCCGUCGCCUUCUCUCCAACACCUGUGGCCACCGGGACCAGCGACGGCACAACCAGCUACAGAUCCAGUGGGAUUCGCCCCCACUCCUGUCCAUAGUUGGGUGGCUCGCGGCAAAACAGGGCCCCCGCGCCAAAAAACGCAGUGUCCACUCCUAUGAAAAUGCUCCUCCAAUAUCUUCAGGCGGUGUGGGCAUCCGGUCGCAGAGAGAUGUGUGGAGUGCUGCAUUCCGCUCGUUGUUGACCCCGUGGCCGCAAAGGGCCGAGAUUAUUGUCGUGUGUGGACUGCAGCGACGACCGGAUCCGACCUUCACCAGCAUCACCAUUCUUCCUUCUCCUGUUCACCAACGUGCACCGCCCGUCAUGGGUUAAGACACUACUCGGACACUUUGAGGUGCCAUCGAUGGAUGUCGUGUCAAAAAGAUUCGCUCUCUUCGGCUUUAUUGCUGGGUGGAGCAUUGCAACCACUGCUGAGACUGAGACCGGACCUACCUUCCAGCUUGCACUGGCAGUCGUCUCAUGCAUAUACUUUCUAGACGACAAGAUGAAAAACCUUAGCAGGGCGUCUACUACAGGGCUUGGACUCUUUGCGAGCGGCUGGGUAGUAGGUUUGCUGGUAGUCCCAGUGAUCCCGACAUUUAUUUUGUCGCGUACUUGGUGUCUGGAGCUCCUUACUUCGCUAGUCGCUUAUGUAUUUUUAUUCUUGGGUUGCAUCCACAGGGAUCAGACUAAAUUUUUGCCUUGUGAGGUUUCUGAAUGAACAGUAUGCAUAGAUUGUUUAAAGAGGAACUUACUUCACUUUUAGUAUGAUCGGGUUUCAGAAGUAAGCUAAAACAAUAUGGUUUGCAGCAGGUUCAGGCAGUUCUUUUGUUUCAAGAUCAAGAUUACUUUCAAACUACAACCAUCGUCUACUAUUUUGUUGUCCUUUCCAUUUCCCCUUGAGUAGCAUCGUCUGUUGUUUCUUUCACCAGCAUCGUCUGUUGUUUCUUUCACCUGCAGGGUGGCUUGCGUCGGCCGCCGAAGCCCGCCGAGGUGAUGCCCUACUUCUGCCUGCGUCUCCCCGCACCCCUCCUACACACCACAAAGGGCGAUGGAGAGAUCAGAUUGUUGUUGUCGCUGUUCUUCUACUACAUAUUCAGUUCAGAAAAGUUCAGCUUCGCACAGGAUGGAAGUUCAACUGCUGGGGGCACUAGCAACAGCGGUGUUUCGCUUGAUUGUAGUUUCUGCGUUUUUGCUACUGCCAGCAAAUGAGAAGAACGGCCAGCACCAAACUACUACUGCUACUGCUUGUGUUUGCUUGCAUAGUUAAUUUGGGCGUUACCAGGAAGAAGAUAAAGCCAAAAAAAUAUGGAGUGAAAGAGAUAAACGAGUAGUGUGCCUACGUGGUGUGGAUAAGAAACGUGUGUUGUGUGAGAGGAUAAGGAAUGUGUGCGACUAUUUAGUGAUAAAAAUAACUUGUGGUUCAAAGAAAAAGCAAACGUUCUAUUUACCUA
This is an RNA transcript of Triticum aestivum (bread wheat), 1832 nucleotides long. It is a transcript of the gene named protein CHAPERONE-LIKE PROTEIN OF POR1, chloroplastic, with no coding region annotated. Lineage: Eukaryota; Viridiplantae; Streptophyta; Magnoliopsida; Poales; Poaceae. The transcript is spliced from 5 exons. The record is from RefSeq and is a predicted model, not a curated record.